CUUGACUGUAUCCUGGAACUGGGUUCGGGCUUUUCUUGCGCAGCCUAGGUGGGAGGCUAUGAAGAUUUCCUUCCGGGGAAGUUGGAGCCAUCAGUGAGAGACCACUCUGGAGAGGCUAGAAUCCUAAUGGUGAUCCUUGAAUCAGGACACUUGACAGUUUCAGGUGGGCAGUUUUUCUGGGGCGGAAGCCUCAUAAAAGGUAACUGAGGCGCGCAAAGGUUCCCUCAGUCUGGACGGAAAUCAGACAUUGAGUGUAAAGGCAAAAGGGAGCUUGACUGCAAGACCUACAAGUCGAGCAGGAGCGAAAGCUGGCCUUAGUGAUCCGACGGUUCCGCGUGGAAGGGCCGUCGCUCAACGAAUAAAAGUUA
This 368-nucleotide ribosomal RNA is filed under the name uncultured organism. Its description in RNAcentral is "bacterial LSU rRNA". It matches the Rfam family "Bacterial large subunit ribosomal RNA", at positions 2099 to 2465 of the family's 2925-position model. The record is from RNAcentral.